This 482-nucleotide ribosomal RNA is filed under the name uncultured bacterium. Its description in RNAcentral is "partial 16S ribosomal RNA". It matches the Rfam family "Bacterial small subunit ribosomal RNA", at positions 30 to 507 of the family's 1533-position model. The record is from RNAcentral.
AUUGAACGCUGGCGGCAUGCCUUACACAUGCAAGUCGAACGGUAACGGGCCUUCGGGUGCCGACGAGUGGCGAACGGGUGAGUAAUACAUCGGAACGUGCACGAUCGUGGGGGAUAACGAGGCGAAAGCUUUGCUAAUACCGCAUACGAUCUACGGAUGCCAGCAGGGGACCGCAAGGCCUUGCGCGGACGGAGCGGCCGAUGGCAGAUUAGGUAGUUGGUGGGAUAAAAGCUUACCAAGCCGACGAUCUGUAGCUGGUCUGAGAGGAUGAUCAGCCACACUGGGACUGAGACACGGCCCAGACUCCUACGGGAGGCAGCAGUGGGGAAUUUUGGACAAUGGGCGCAAGCCUGAUCCAGCCAUGCCGCGUGCAGGAUGAAGGCCUUCGGGUUGUAAACUGCUUUUGUACGGAACGAAAAGCCUUCUUUUAAUACAGGAGGGUCAUGACGGUACCGGAAGAAUAAGCACCGGCUAACUACGUG